RNAcentral lists this transfer RNA (92 nucleotides) under Halovulum marinum. RNAcentral describes it as "Rhodobacteraceae bacterium 2CG4 tRNA-Ser". It matches the Rfam family "tRNA". From Rfam's summary of the family: Transfer RNA (tRNA) molecules are approximately 80 nucleotides in length. Their secondary structure includes four short double-helical elements and three loops (D, anti-codon, and T loops). Further hydrogen bonds mediate the characteristic L-shaped molecular structure. tRNAs have two regions of fundamental functional importance: the anti-codon, which is responsible for specific mRNA codon recognition, and the 3' end, to which the tRNAs corresponding amino acid is attached (by aminoacyl-tRNA synthetases). tRNAs cope with the degeneracy of the genetic code in two manners: having more than one tRNA (with a specific anti-codon) for a particular amino acid; and 'wobble' base-pairing, i.e. permitting non-standard base-pairing at the 3rd anti-codon position. Lineage: Bacteria; Pseudomonadati; Pseudomonadota; Alphaproteobacteria; Rhodobacterales; Paracoccaceae. RNAcentral also lists the same sequence under 1 other name. The record is from RNAcentral.
GGAGACGUGGCCGAGUGGUCGAAGGCGCUCCCCUGCUAAGGGAGUAGACGGCUUAAACCGUCUCGAGGGUUCGAAUCCCUUCGUCUCCGCCA